CAGUAGCCGCGGUAAGACAGAGGAUGCAAGCGUUAUCCGGAAUGAUUGGGCGUAAAGCGUGCGCAGGCGGUUGUGUAAGACAGGUGUGAAAUCCCCGGGCUUAACCUGGGAACUGCGCUUGUGACUGCACAGCUAGAGUAUGGCAGAAGGGGGUGGAAUUCCACGUGUAGCAGUGAAAUGCGUAGAGAUGUGGAGGAACACCGAUGGCGAAGGCAGCCCCCUGGGCCAAUACUGACGCUCAUGCACGAAAGCGUGGGGAGCAAACAGGAUUAGAUACCCGCGUAGUCCCUGUCUCUUAUAC
This 301-nucleotide ribosomal RNA is filed under the name uncultured bacterium. Its description in RNAcentral is "partial 16S ribosomal RNA". It matches the Rfam family "Bacterial small subunit ribosomal RNA", at positions 509 to 807 of the family's 1533-position model. The record is from RNAcentral.